CUACGGGUGGCUGCAGUGGGGAAUAUUGGACAAUGGGGGGAACCCUGAUCCAGCCAUGCCGCGUGUGUGAAGAAGGCCCUCGGGUUGUAAAGCACUUUCAGUGAGGAAGAACGCCUGGUGGUUAAUACCCAUCAGGAAAGACAUCACUCACAGAAGAAGCACCGGCUAACUCCGUGCCAGCAGCCGCGGUAAUACGGAGGGUGCGAGCGUUAAUCGGAAUUACUGGGCGUAAAGCGCGCGUAGGUGGCUUGAUAAGCCGGUUGUGAAAGCCCCGGGCUCAACCUGGGAACGACAUCCGGAACUGUCAAGCUCGAGUGCAGGAGAGGAAGGUAGAAUUCCCGGUGUAGCGGUGAAAUGCGUAGAGAUCGGGAGGAAUACCAGUGGCGAAGGCGGCCUUCUGGACUGACACUGACACUGAGGUGCGAAAGCGUGGGUAGCAAACAGGAUUAGAUACCCGAGUAGUC
RNAcentral lists this ribosomal RNA (464 nucleotides) under Vreelandella stevensii. RNAcentral's name for it is "partial 16S ribosomal RNA". It matches the Rfam family "Bacterial small subunit ribosomal RNA", at positions 339 to 795 of the family's 1533-position model. Lineage: Bacteria; Pseudomonadati; Pseudomonadota; Gammaproteobacteria; Oceanospirillales; Halomonadaceae. The record is from RNAcentral.